UUGAGCCCAAACCCUAACCCUAGUCUUGGCCCCACUCUACCACAUUACCGGCAGGCAGCUCCAUCCCCACAUAUGUCAGCUACUGCCUUGCUGCAAAAAGCAGCUCAGAUGGGUGCAACCAUGAGCAGCAAAACUACAAGCUUGAUGAGACCCCACCAUCACCAGCAGCAGCCGCAACACCACCACCAAGAAGGAGCUCAUGUGUCUUCCCAUUCUGGUAACAACAAUGCAAAUACAACUGGUUUUGGUCUGAAUUUUUCCUCACCUGAAGAGCAGCUGCCAGGUGGUGGGUCAAUUUUUCAUGGCCUGCAGGCUCCUUUUAGGAAUAAAGCUGUUCCUUCUGGUACUACUAAAGUUGGUACUAGUGGUUCACCACCCUCAGGUGCCCUUCUUCAAGAAAUGAUGAAUUCUCUUUCUUCUGCUUCUGGGUUUGAAGGGAGUAACUCCUUUGAAGAUGCAUUUGUUGGCGGGAUUUUGAAUACCAAGAAAAGUGAUGAUAAUGCUGGUGGUGGCGGUGGUGGCUCCGGCUGCCG
This 533-nucleotide unclassified non-coding RNA is filed under the name Hevea brasiliensis (rubber tree). Lineage: Eukaryota; Viridiplantae; Streptophyta; Magnoliopsida; Malpighiales; Euphorbiaceae. The record is from RNAcentral.